This is a non-coding RNA of Conger conger (European conger), 378 nucleotides long. The record is from the annotation of a RefSeq genome assembly. Lineage: Eukaryota; Metazoa; Chordata; Actinopteri; Anguilliformes; Congridae.
AUGGUAGUAACACCAGGUCAGCCUUUAACCAUCUCCUGCAAAGUCUCUGGGUAUUCCCUGACUGAUGGCAGCUACUGUACAAACUGGAUCCGACAGCCUGCAGGGAAAGCUCUGGAGAGGAUUGGGUACAUUUGCUCUGGUGGAGACACUGGUUAUAAAGAUUCACUGAAGAACAAGUUCAUCAUCUCCAGAGACACCUCCAGUGUUCAGGGUGAGAUUGUCCUGACAGAAUCUGAAGCAGUGGUAAAGAGACCAGGAGACUCUCACACACUGACCUGUACAGCCUCUGGGUUCACACUCAGCAGCUACUGGAUGGGCUGGAUCAGACAGGCUCCUGGGAAGGGACUGGAGUGGUUGGGAUCUCAGGCUGGCAGCUAG